This is a long non-coding RNA of Oncorhynchus gorbuscha (pink salmon), 363 nucleotides long. RefSeq lists it as uncharacterized. The record is from RefSeq and is a predicted model, not a curated record. Lineage: Eukaryota; Metazoa; Chordata; Actinopteri; Salmoniformes; Salmonidae. The transcript is spliced from 3 exons.
CUUUGGGGUCGGGGAGGGGGCCAGCACUGCUCUCAUCUCUGAGGUGGCCAAGCAGGCCAGAGGGCACGCACAGUUUAUCACAGGACAGGACAGGAUGCAGCCCAAAGUGAUGCAGUCUCUCCGGUUUGCCCUGCAGCCAGCUGUGGUGGACAUCUCAGUCAAGUGGAAUGUCCCAAAGGAGGUGUCUGUCACCCUUCUGUCUCCACCAAUCAGAGUGCUCUUCCAGGGUCAAAGGGCUCUUCUGUAUGCCCAGCUCACUGGGGAGGGGACACAGAGGGCUCGAUAACAGUGAAGUACAGCCUGGCCAAGCAGCCUGUUGAGAACCAGCUGAUCUUCAGUCUUAAGCCUGCAGAGGACACUGGG